AAAAAGGGGGCUUUUAAUUCUGAUGAAUUUAUGAAUUCCAUGGUGUUGUUUUUCUAUGUAGUGGCAUGGGAAAGGCUUUGGCUUUGACUUGGUAAUUUAUAGGACUGACACAAAGGAAUGACUUGAUAAUUUAAGGGACUGAAAUUGAUAUCAAUAGAUGAUUAUCAGUGUGGUAUGGUUUGGUUACCAGUUUUUUGCAUCUUGAAGAAGAAUGGUUCUGCCUGAAAGGUUGUGAAUUGGAAAGCUGAAAAUGGGCAUAGGAACAUUGAAAAAAAGCAUGGCUGAUUCAACAGAAAGAAGUUUAGAUUCCCUUCAUUCAUGUAAAGAGAAUGCCUGUUAGAAACAAAUUGGGGGGGAGAAGGAUUCAUAUUGUUAUCAUUACUGCCGCAAUCUGGAGUGGAUGCUGUGUAUAUUAUUAUUAUUUUUAAAAGUACCGUUGUGCAUGCCAAAAUCUUAUGCUGUCACAGAAUAAGUUUUUGCUAGUUUCUGAUGGUGGAGCUCUUCUGGUUUUUGCCUUUAUUUUGCCUGAUCUGGUACAUUGAGAAUAAUUACUUUCUUUUGAAUGUGAUGCAAUUGUAAGUUCUUUUUGUUUCAAAAUGAUAAAUUUAGGUUGUGGGAUGCCUCAUUGAGCA
Molecule: unclassified non-coding RNA, 632 nt
Filed under: Hevea brasiliensis (rubber tree)
Lineage: Eukaryota; Viridiplantae; Streptophyta; Magnoliopsida; Malpighiales; Euphorbiaceae
Source: RNAcentral